RNAcentral lists this ribosomal RNA (447 nucleotides) under uncultured bacterium. Its description in RNAcentral is "bacterial SSU rRNA". It matches the Rfam family "Bacterial small subunit ribosomal RNA", at positions 355 to 825 of the family's 1533-position model. The record is from RNAcentral.
UCGGGAAUUUUGGGCAAUGGGCGAAAGCCUGACCCAGCAACGCCGCGUGAAGGAUGAAGUAUUUCGGUAUGUAAACUUCGAAAGAAUAGGAAGAAUAAAUGACGGUACUAUUUAUAAGGUCCGGCUAACUACGUGCCAGCAGCCGCGGUAAUACGUAGGGAGCUAGCGUUGUUCGGAAUCACUGGGCGUAAAGCGCACGUAGGCGGAUAGUUAAGUCAGGGGUGAAAUCCUGGGGCUCAACCCCAGAACUGCCUUUGAUACUGGCUGUCUCGAGGUCGAGAGAGGUUGGUGGAAUUCCUAGUGUAGAGGUGAAAUUCGUAGAUAUUAGGAAGAACACCAGUGGCGAAGGCGGCCAACUGGCUCGAUACUGACGCUGAGGUGCGAAAGCGUGGGGAGCAAACAGGAUUAGAUACCCCCGUAGUCCCUGAGCGGGCUGGCAAGGCGCAU